This 509-nucleotide ribosomal RNA is filed under the name uncultured Smithella sp. Its description in RNAcentral is "bacterial SSU rRNA". It matches the Rfam family "Bacterial small subunit ribosomal RNA", at positions 32 to 516 of the family's 1533-position model. Lineage: Bacteria; Pseudomonadati; Thermodesulfobacteriota; Syntrophia; Syntrophales; Smithellaceae. The record is from RNAcentral.
AACGCUGGCGGCGUGCCUAACACAUGCAAGUCGUACGAGAAAGUUGGCUUCGGCCGAUAAGUAAAGUGGCGCACGGGUGAGUAACGCGUGGAUAAUCUACCCUUUAGUUGGGAAUAACUCAUCGAAAGGUGGGCUAAUACCCGAUAAUACUGCUUUUAUUCCGAUUAAGCAGUCAAAGAUAGCCUCUGUUUACAAGCCUUCACUAAAGGAUGAGUCCGCGUACCAUUAGCUAGUUGGUAGGGUAAUUGCCUACCAAGGCGACGAUGGUUAGCUGGUCUGAGAGGAUGAUCAGCCACACUGGAACUGAGACACGGUCCAGACUCCUACGGGAGGCAGCAGUGAGGAAUCUUGCGCAAUGGGGGAAACCCUGACGCAGCAACGCCGCGUGAGUGAGGAAGGUUUUCGGAUCGUAAAGCUCUGUCGGGUGAGAAGAAAUGUAUAGAAGUUAACAGCCUUUAUACUUGACGGUAUCACCAGAGGAAGCACCGGCCAACUCCGUGCCAGCAGCC